Centropristis striata (black sea bass) is the source of this 831-nucleotide long non-coding RNA. RefSeq lists it as uncharacterized. The record is from RefSeq and is a predicted model, not a curated record. The transcript has 5 exons. Lineage: Eukaryota; Metazoa; Chordata; Actinopteri; Perciformes; Serranidae.
UGAGGUGCAGCCCCUUCGUGUUGACCCCGACAUAGACGCGGAUGACUUUGUGGUUGCUGGCGCUGGCCUUGGUGUAGACCUGGCCCGUGAAGAAGGCCGCUCCGUAGGUCGGGAUGUCCCAGCAGUUCUGCAGGAAGAGCCGCUGCAGCUGCCGUAGAUGAUCUGCAGGAGGAGGCUGGCCAGUGUGAUAAGCUUGCUGUCUGGAGCAGGAAAGAAGCCCUUCAGGAGGCAGUGACGAGCCUCGUCGAACAGAAUGAGGAUGGCCAGAGGAUCCUCCACCUGGGACAAGACAGUGAGGACCAGAGUGAGGACCAACACCUGACAAGAAGGCAGACGGACGUCCCUGCGAAGGAAGAGCUGAGGCGUUUCCCUUUGUGGGUCCAGCACCGUCAGGUCCGUCACAAUCUCUGUCCAGAUCCGCAGGUGCUGCAGGGGUUUGUGGUACGGCUUCAGCUGCAGAGAUUGUUCCUGGACGGCCUCUCCCUGCUGGUCCAUGUUCAGGACGAGCUGACUUUGCACUGACUGAGCACCUCCUGCAUCUUCAGCUGGAUGUCCUCCACCCUCUUGGCCCACUUCUCCCGCACCUCGUCUUCGUCGUCCUCUGUAACAGCUGUGUAGGCCAUGAGGGCGAUGAGGCCCAUGUGGAACAGGUUUCGUUCACCUCGUCGAUGCGGAUCUUCCUUAGGCAUUGGUGGUUCUUUUCAGAGAUGCUCUCCAGUUUGGUGUUGAGCGACUGGAAGUCUUUGUCCAGAGCGUGGCCCUCCUCUGUAUCCAGGCCCUUGCGAGCCACCCCAACCAGGGAGGAGACGAUGCCGAAGAUGGGGUCGAUGG